CCGCAUAAGAUUGUAGCUUCGCAUGGAGCAGCAAUCAAAGGAGCAAUCCGCUGAAAGAUGGACUCGCGUCCGAUUAGAUAGUUGGCGGGGUAACGGCCCACCAAGUCGACGAUCGGUAGCCGGACUGAGAGGUUGAUCGGCCACAUUGGGACUGAGACACGGCCCAGACUCCUACGGGAGGCAGCAGUGAGGGAUAUUGGGCAAUGGGGGAAACCCUGACCCAGCAACGCCGCGUGAGGGAUGACGGUUUUCGGAUUGUAAACCUCUGUCCUCUGUGAAGAUAGUGACGGUAGCAGAGGAGGAAGCUCCGGCUAACUACGUGCCAGCAGCCGCGGUAAUACGUAGGGAGCAAGCGUUGUCCGGAUUUACUGGGUGUAAAGGGUGCGUAGGCGGAUUGGCAAGUCAGAAGUGAAAUCCAUGGGCUUAACCCAUGAACUGCUUUUGAAACUGUUAGUCUUGAGUGAAGUAGAGGUAGGCGGAAUUCCCGGUGUAGCGGUGAAAUGCGUAGAGAUCGGGAGGAACACCAGUGGCGAAGGCGGCCUACUGGGCUUUAACUGACGCUGAGGCACGAAAGUGUGGGUAGCAAACAGAAUUAGAUACCCUGGUAGUCCACACUGUAAACGAAGAUUAAUAGGAGGGGGGGGUCUAACCCCCUCCGUGCCGGAGUUAACACAAUAAGUAAUCCCCCUGGGGAGUACGACCGCAAGGGUGAAACUCAAAGGAAUUGACGGGGGCCCGCACAAGCAGUGGAGUAUGUGGUUUAAUUCGACGCAACGCGAAGAACCUUACCAGGUCUUGACAUCCAACUAACGAAGCAGAGAUGCAUUAGGUGCCCUUCGGGGAAAGUUGAGACAGGUGGUGCAUGGUUGUCGUCAGCUCGUGUCGUGAGAUGUUGGGUUAAGUCCCGCAACGAGCGCAACCCUCGUGAUUAGUUGCUACGCAAGAGCACUCUAAUCAGACUGCCGUUGACAAAACGGAGGAAGGUGGGGACGACGUCAAAUCAUCAUGCCCUAUAUGACCUGGGCUACACACGUACUACAAUGGUCGUUAACAGAGGGAAGCAAUACCGCGAGGUGGAGCAAAACCCUAAAAACGGUCUCAGUUCAGAUUGUAGGCUGCAACUCGCCUACAUGAAGUUGGAAUUGCUAGUAAUCGCGGAUCAGCAUGCCGCGGUGAAUACGAUCCCGGGCCUUGCACU
Molecule: ribosomal RNA, 1198 nt
Filed under: uncultured bacterium
Lineage: Bacteria
Description: bacterial SSU rRNA
Rfam family: Bacterial small subunit ribosomal RNA
Source: RNAcentral